Molecule: unclassified non-coding RNA, 3046 nt
Organism: Vigna unguiculata (cowpea)
Lineage: Eukaryota; Viridiplantae; Streptophyta; Magnoliopsida; Fabales; Fabaceae
Source: RefSeq, a predicted model, not a curated record
CCCUUAUUUUCUAUACCGUACCAUUUUCGAAAUGAAAAUCGUGUUCCGUUGAACGUUUCACUUCAAUUUUCCAUUAAAUUUCCUUUGAUCAACAAUGAGCACAGUUAGCUAUGUCAGGUAGGAUGAUCUAAAUCUAGCAGCGACUGCACCUGAAUCCAUGGAGAUGAUGAGGCUGCACCACAAUCAAGAGGCAGAGGUCGUUGUUUGGGGACGAAGAACCCUAAAGACCGUUCUAGACGCCGCAUUUGACUGAUGUUUUCCUAUCGAUUACUUUGUGAUAAAUUACAUAAACUAGUUCUUUUUAUCGAUUACUUCUUCAUUUUCCUCCUUCUUUUAAGUUCUUUGGAAUUUUCGAUAGAGUAUUUCUUUUAGCUAUUUUCCAUGUGUCAAUUUAGAGGUCUGAUUUUAUGAAAAAAGCUGUGGACCUAGCAGCCAGAGAAUUAAUGGCACUCGCAUCACAAGGACAAGUUUAAUCUUCAAUUAAUUAAUAAUCUAAUUCAGGAAUUUGGUUUAGUUUUUUAUAAUGUUGUUGCAAUGUGCUUCUAUUGCAAUUAUGAAUGUUGCAAUGUGCUUGUGUUGCAAUUCAGGCUCGAUGUAUGGCAAACAUAGUAUUACAGUCACAUUACCCCAGAAGCUCACGGGGGCUUAGAAACCAAAGGUAUCUGCGUGAGUCUGCCCCUAAGAAAGGAAAAUCUAGUAGGAGAUAGGCUUUAUGAGAAGAUCUGCCCACUAAUAUUGACCAGGAAUGUGUCGAAGAUCAAGCUGCUUGGUAUUAACAUUUUUGAAAACGUAGAACACGUGAAGCUCCAUUUUCCUGGUUCUAGCACGAAGAACAGGAUUAUGAGCCAAAUUAAGAACAAAUUGUCACACAGAACAAUAGGAGUAUUGUGAGGAAUUGAAAGCUUCUUAAGAGUCUCUAUCCAUAAGAUGUCAGCUGUAGCAACAUCUAAACUCCUAUUUCUAGUUUGUUUUCUUGAUCAACAUGAAACUAAAUUAGGUUCCAAGUAAAUGGAAGCCCCUGAGAUUGAAGAAGAUAAGUCAUAAACUAUCAUAUUCAUACCUUGUUGACAACAAAAUUUUUAAACUCCUUGUAAAUGUUAUUUCUUUCAUGUAAAAAUUCUAUCAGGCCAUGUCUAGCUACUCUUAUUUGUAUCAUUUUUUAGGAUUCUUGUUAAGGCUUGUUUCCCUUUGUAUUUCACAACCUCUCUUACAUCUAUCCCCACUCCAAAAUGAACUUACCUUAAAAGACUAUGAUUGUUUUGGGCAGGCAAUAAGUAAUAUGAAAGCUAAUGCAGCUGGAUUAACUCAACAAAACAAUGUGUAGCCUGUUUCAGAUGCCAACAUUCCCAAGGCUAAACCAGAACAUCCUUUGGGCUUGCAAUCAAAACUUCUAGAAGGUUAAGGAGAAGUGUCUAAGCCUCAAUCUUCGUUAGUGCUUCCACCAGGUUUUUUUGAUGACAGUGUUUCAGGAAAGAAAAGUUCUGUGAUAGUAAUAGGGAGAGAACGCUUUCCAUGAUUUGCAGCCGCAUCAAACGCUUUCCAGCACUUCUAUGUGCUGCUGAAUUCCACGAGGAUGAUGUGCUCUAUAGCGAGAGAACAUCUAGGUUUCUGAAGCCUGCUUUCACUGUUAUACGUGAUCAAGAAUCGAAAUGUUUGUUGGUGUUCAUCCGUGGAACGCGUAGCAUAAAAGACACUCUCAUAGAUACACUGUGUGCUUAUGUCUCCUUCGAUCACAACAUGGUUUCAGGACAUGCACAUCGUGGUAUGGUUGUUGUGGCUGAUUGGAUUAGCAAACAUUGCAUUCCUGUACUACUUGAAGCUCUUCGUCAAUACCCCCACUUCAAAAUCAAGAUUGUUGGACACUCGCUGGGUGGUGGUACUGCUGCAUUAUUGACUCAUAAGCUUAGAGAAAUGGAAGAGUUGUCUUCGACAAGGCCAACUUGUGUCACGUUUGGCUUAGCUGCCUGUGUGACAUUGGAGUUGGCUGAGUUAGGAAAACCCUUUAUCACUUCCAUUGUAAAUGGUUCUGACAUAGUGCCAACACUCUCAGCUUCUUCUAGUCAUAAUUUCAUUGCUGAGGUAACAACCUACAAUAUUAUCACCAAAUAUUCAUAUUCUCAGGUAUAUCUUUACUCAAAAUUGGUGGAAGAAUGGUUUAUUCAACCUGCUCAAUGAAUCCUAUUGAGAAUGAAGCUGUGGUUGCUGAGAAAAAUGACUUGAAUAUAGACCUGCAAAAUCUGCCCAAACAGGGGAAUAUGGCCCAAGCAAUUACUUUUGAGAAUGAAUGUCUCUUUGGAUUGAGUAUAAGGUGCCAAAAUAAUAUAUGUGAUCUUGUUUUGGUGCUGGUCAUCUGAUCUGAAGUCUAACCUGUUUAAUUUUGUUGUAGGGGCAACAAUGCUUAAGUAAUGAUCAAGUGUUAGGAAGUAUAGGAAUACUGUUUGAUAUUGACUUGUAGAUCUUUAGGAUUUUCCAGAGGCUAUGCUAGUAGUGAAUUUUCAGCUUUAACUUUGAUCUUUGGUCUCUUAGGACAUUGUUGAUUAUGCCACUAGCAAGCUCCCCCCUGAUGUUCUUGCUGCCUGAAGAUAGUUGUACUUGUAGCAAACUCAUAUAGACCUAUUGGAGGGGCUAAAGAUGAUCUUGAAAUAGGAAUUUCGUCCUACAAAAAUCCAAGAUUGCAUCUUUUCCAUCAAAGGAAAUUGCGAAAAGACUGCCUCACCCAUCAGUUAGUUGAAGUAGCCACAGAUAGCAGCUGAAUGUGGGAACCCCUGGUGGUCAUCAGGGUGAUGGAAACUCCGCUGCAUAGCUAAUCUUGGGUUGGACUCCCUACUCCAAGUACUCUUCAAGGCACUGUGGCCUAUGUACUAUCUUGCUCUAUGAGAAUGUAUUCUGGAUAACUGUCAAAAGUUUAUUCUUGUUCUCUUCUUUUGUUAAUGGCAUCGUGGUGUGUCUUAGUUUUGUCUCGAGUAUUUUGGAUAUUUGUAAGGAGUGACCCUAUACUCCAUGUCAUUGCUUUUUAUAUUAUAUUCUAAGUGAUGUUUCAUUUAAA